This 66-nucleotide transfer RNA is filed under the name Aposthonia japonica. Its description in RNAcentral is "tRNA-Ala". Lineage: Eukaryota; Metazoa; Arthropoda; Insecta; Embioptera; Oligotomidae. The record is from RNAcentral.
AAGUUUAUAGUUAAAUAUAACAUCUGUAUUGCUCACAGAUAGUAAUGAACCUCUCAUUUAUUCUUA